RNAcentral lists this ribosomal RNA (253 nucleotides) under uncultured bacterium. RNAcentral describes it as "partial 16S ribosomal RNA". It matches the Rfam family "Bacterial small subunit ribosomal RNA", at positions 524 to 776 of the family's 1533-position model. The record is from RNAcentral.
UACGUAGGGGGCAAGCGUUGUCCGGAAUCAUUGGGCGUAAAGCGCGUGUAGGCGGCCCGGUAAGUCCGCUGUGAAAGUCCAGGGCUCAACCCUGGGAUGCCGGUGGAUACUGUCGGGCUCGAGUCCGGAAGAGGCGAGUGGAAUUCCUGGUGUAGCGGUGAAAUGCGCAGAUAUCAGGAAGAACACCAAUGGCGAAAGCAGCUUUCUGGGACGGUACUGACGCUGAGACGCGAAAGCGUGGGGAGCGAACAGG